RNAcentral lists this ribosomal RNA (488 nucleotides) under uncultured bacterium. RNAcentral describes it as "partial 16S ribosomal RNA". It matches the Rfam family "Bacterial small subunit ribosomal RNA", at positions 30 to 505 of the family's 1533-position model. The record is from RNAcentral.
AUUGAACGCUGGCGGCAGGCCUAACACAUGCAAGUCGAACGGUAACAGGAAGCAGCUUGCUGCUUCGCUGACGAGUGGCGGACGGGUGAGUAAUGUCUGGGAAGCUGCCUGAUGGAGGGGGAUAACUACUGGAAACGGUAGCUAAUACCGCAUAAUGUCGCAAGACCAAAGAGGGGGACCUUCGGGCCUCUUGCCAUCGGAUGUGCCCAGAUGGGAUUAGCUUGUUGGUGGGGUAACGGCUCACCAAGGCGACGAUCCCUAGCUGGUCUGAGAGGAUGACCAGCCACACUGGAACUGAGACACGGUCCAGACUCCUACGGGAGGCAGCAGUGGGGAAUAUUGCACAAUGGGCGCAGGCCUGAUGCAGCCAUGCCGCGUGUAUGAAGAAGGCCUUCGGGUUGUAAAGUACUUUCAGCGGGGAGGAAGGGAGUAAAGUUAAUACCUUUGCUCAUUGACGUUACCCGCAGAAGAAGCACCGGCUAACUCCG